This 440-nucleotide ribosomal RNA is filed under the name uncultured Psychrobacter sp. RNAcentral's name for it is "bacterial SSU rRNA". It matches the Rfam family "Bacterial small subunit ribosomal RNA", at positions 358 to 790 of the family's 1533-position model. Lineage: Bacteria; Pseudomonadati; Pseudomonadota; Gammaproteobacteria; Moraxellales; Moraxellaceae. The record is from RNAcentral.
GGAAUAUUGGACAAUGGGGGAAACCCUGAUCCAGCCAUGCCGCGUGUGUGAAGAAGGCCUUUUGGUUGUAAAGCACUUUAAGCAGUGAAGAAGACUCUUCGGUUAAUACCCGGAGACGAUGACAUUAGCUGCAGAAUAAGCACCGGCUAACUCUGUGCCAGCAGCCGCGGUAAUACAGAGGGUGCAAGCGUUAAUCGGAAUUACUGGGCGUAAAGCGAGCGUAGGUGGCUUGAUAAGUCAGAUGUGAAAUCCCCGGGCUUAACCUGGGAACUGCAUCCGAUACUGUCAGGCUAGAGUAGGUGAGAGGAAGGUAGAAUUCCAGGUGUAGCGGUGAAAUGCGUAGAGAUCUGGAGGAAUACCGAUGGCGAAGGCAGCCUUCUGGCAUCAUACUGACACUGAGGCUCGAAAGCGUGGGUAGCAAACAGGAUUAGAUACCCGGG